ACUCAAAUGAAUAGACGGGGACCCGCACAAGCAGUGGAGCAUGUGGUUUAAUUCGAUGCAACGCGAAGAACCUUACCCAGAUUUGACAUGCAGUAGACAGCGCCAGAAAUGGCGUCUCCCUUCGGGGCUGCUGCACAGGUGCUGCAUGGCUGUCGUCAGCUCGUGCCGUGAGGUGUUGGGUUAAGUCCCGCAACGAGCGCAACCCUUAUCGUUAGUUGCCAACACAUAAUGGUGGGAACUCUAACGAGACUGCCUGGGUUAACCAGGAGGAAGGUGAGGAUGACGUCAAGUCCGCAUGGCCCUUAUGUCUGGGGCUACACACGUGCUACAAUGGUCGGUACAGAAGGCAGCGAAACCGCAAGGCGGAGCAAAUCCCAAAAAGCCGAUCCCAGUUCAGAUUGUAGUCUGCAACUCGACUACAUGAAGAUGGAAUUGCUAGUAAUGGCGAGUCAGCAACAUCGCCGUGAAUACGUUCCCGGGUCUUGUACACACCGCCCGU
This 499-nucleotide ribosomal RNA is filed under the name uncultured bacterium. RNAcentral's name for it is "partial 16S ribosomal RNA". It matches the Rfam family "Bacterial small subunit ribosomal RNA", at positions 899 to 1397 of the family's 1533-position model. The record is from RNAcentral.